CACCGUGUUGAUCUCCUCGUGUUGUUCCAGCAGACAGCAGACAGAAACACAGAGACAGAAGCUCCAGAGAUGAGAACUGAAGUCUAACAACACCAGACAUGAUCAACUGAUGCUGACAGGCUAGCCUAACAGGAAGCUAACACUCUAGUAUAGCUCCGUGCACCUUGGUUUCG
Long non-coding RNA from Sebastes umbrosus (honeycomb rockfish), 173 nucleotides. RefSeq lists it as uncharacterized. Lineage: Eukaryota; Metazoa; Chordata; Actinopteri; Perciformes; Sebastidae. The record is from RefSeq and is a predicted model, not a curated record. The transcript is spliced from 3 exons.